CUGGGGUGAAGUCGUAACAAGGUAGCCGUAUCGGAUGGUGCGGCUGGAUCACCUCCUUUCUAAGGAGAAUU
RNAcentral lists this ribosomal RNA (71 nucleotides) under Clostridioides difficile. RNAcentral's name for it is "partial 16S ribosomal RNA". The stretch from base 1 to 59 matches the Rfam family "Bacterial small subunit ribosomal RNA", at positions 1475 to 1533 of the family's 1533-position model. Lineage: Bacteria; Bacillati; Bacillota; Clostridia; Peptostreptococcales; Peptostreptococcaceae. The record is from RNAcentral.